This 518-nucleotide ribosomal RNA is filed under the name Salmonella enterica. Its description in RNAcentral is "partial 23S ribosomal RNA". It matches the Rfam family "Bacterial large subunit ribosomal RNA", at positions 2306 to 2823 of the family's 2925-position model. Lineage: Bacteria; Pseudomonadati; Pseudomonadota; Gammaproteobacteria; Enterobacterales; Enterobacteriaceae. The record is from RNAcentral.
GAGCACGAAGGUUGGCUAAUCCUGGUCGGACAUCAGGAGGUUAGUGCAAUGGCAUAAGCCAGCUUGACUGCGAGCGUGACGGCGCGAGCAGGUGCGAAAGCAGGUCAUAGUGAUCCGGUGGUUCUGAAUGGAAGGGCCAUCGCUCAACGGAUAAAAGGUACUCCGGGGAUAACAGGCUGAUACCGCCCAAGAGUUCAUAUCGACGGCGGUGUUUGGCACCUCGAUGUCGGCUCAUCACAUCCUGGGGCUGAAGUAGGUCCCAAGGGUAUGGCUGUUCGCCAUUUAAAGUGGUACGCGAGCUGGGUUUAGAACGUCGUGAGACAGUUCGGUCCCUAUCUGCCGUGGGCGCUGGAGAACUGAGGGGGGCUGCUCCUAGUACGAGAGGACCGGAGUGGACGCAUCACUGGUGUUCGGGUUGUCAUGCCAAUGGCACUGCCCGGUAGCUAAAUGCGGAAGAGAUAAGUGCUGAAAGCAUCUAAGCACGAAACUUGCCCCGAGAUGAGUUCUCCCUGAGACUU